This 253-nucleotide ribosomal RNA is filed under the name uncultured bacterium. RNAcentral describes it as "partial 16S ribosomal RNA". It matches the Rfam family "Bacterial small subunit ribosomal RNA", at positions 524 to 776 of the family's 1533-position model. The record is from RNAcentral.
UACGUAGGGUGCGAGCGUUGUCCGGAUUUACUGGGCGUAAAGGGCGUGCAGGCGGUCUGUUAAGUGCAGGGUGAAAGCUCCCGGCUCAACUGGGAGAGGUCCUUGCAUACUGGCGGACUUGAGGGGGGUAGAGGAAAGUGGAAUUCCCGGUGUAGUGGUGGUAUGCGUAGAUAUCGGGAGGAACACCUGUGGCGAAGGCGGCUUUCUGGGCCCUACCUGACGCUGAGACGCGAAAGCGUGGGGAGCGAACCGG